AGUGAACGCUGGCGGUAGGCCUAACACAUGCAAGUCGAACGGCAGCACAGUAAGAGCUUGCUCUUACGGGUGGCGAGUGGCGGACGGGUGAGGAAUACAUCGGAAUCUACUUUUUCGUGGGGGAUAACGUAGGGAAACUUACGCUAAUACCGCAUACGACCUACGGGUGAAAGCAGGGGAUCUUCGGACCUUGCGCGAUUGAAUGAGCCGAUGUCGGAUUAGCUAGUUGGCGGGGUAAAGGCCCACCAAGGCGACGAUCCGUAGCUGGUCUGAGAGGAUGAUCAGCCACACUGGAACUGAGACACGGCCCAGACUCCUACGGGAGGCAGCAGUGGGGAAUAUUGGCCAAUGGGCGCAAGCCUGAUCCAGCCAUACCGCGUGGGUGAAGAAGGCCUUCGGGUUGUAAAGCCCUUUUGUUGGGAAAGAAAAGCAGCAGGUUAAUACCCCGCUGUUCUGACGGUACCCAAAGAAUAAGCACCGGCUAACUUCGUG
This 492-nucleotide ribosomal RNA is filed under the name uncultured bacterium. Its description in RNAcentral is "partial 16S ribosomal RNA". It matches the Rfam family "Bacterial small subunit ribosomal RNA", at positions 29 to 507 of the family's 1533-position model. The record is from RNAcentral.